RNAcentral lists this small RNA (1890 nucleotides) under Caenorhabditis elegans. RNAcentral describes it as "Unclassified non-coding RNA Y76B12C.15". Lineage: Eukaryota; Metazoa; Nematoda; Chromadorea; Rhabditida; Rhabditidae. The record is from RNAcentral.
CGAGCAUUUCCCAUUGGCUGAUUGUUUCACACGAAAAUGGCCGUCUUUCAAUUCAUUCUCUACCAGAAAUGGAAGUAGUUUAUCAAAUUGGCCGUUUCUCGAAUGUUCCAGAACUUCUCGUUGAUUUAACUGUUGAAGAAGAGGAAAAAGAGCGGAAGGCGAAGGCUCAGCAGGCGGCAAAAGAGGCCUCUGUGCCUACAGAUGAAGCCGAACAGCUGAAUACGGAAAUGAAACAGUUGUGCGAACGCGUUUUAGAGGCGCAGAUUGUUGGUUAGUACGCCGGCCGGAAAACUGGAGAGAAAACGGGAAAAAUUGAUUUUAAAAUCGUGAAAAAUCAUGAAAAAUCGAUUCCGCGCGCUGAAAAUUGAAUUUUUCACAUUGAAUUUUUCGCAUAGUACAAAUGCGCUCUAAUGAUAAAACUAAAAAAUAAAGCGAAAAUUCAAAUUUUCGGUUUCCCGUAUGCUGCAACUGCGCUCCACCACCGCAAAAUUACGUCGAACUCGUAAGAAACAACCGCCGAAUUUUCACUCAAAAAUUUAAAUUUUUCACACCGACCGUAGGCUUCGGUAAGUGCGCUCUAAUGAGAAAACAACACGAUUUUAAGCCGAAAUUUGAAUUUUUGCAUCAAAAGAAUUCGGUUUUUACAAGCGAGAAAUCUGGAAUUUUCACUCAAAAAUUUGAAUUUUUAACCACGACCAAGCGACUGCUUCAAGUGCGCUCCAAUAAGAAAACACCGAAUUUUAGGCGGAAAUUUAAAUUUUUGGUUUAAAAAUUAAGUUUUUUUUACAAUUUUCAAGCCAGAAAUUUGAAAUUUUAACAUUUUUUCUAAUUUUUUGCGGAGAAAUUUACUUUAAAACCGUGAAAAAUUCUGAAAAACCGCCGAAAAUUGAUGAUAAAUCGAGAAAAUUCGUCAAUUUUUUUUCCGAAUAACCGGGAAAAUCAAAAACUUGCAAAUUUCGCAAAUUUGUUUUUUACAUUUGAAUUUUUCACACCGACCGUAUGCUACAAAAGUGCGCUCCAAGGAGAAAACAGUGAAUUUUGGGCGGAAAUUUGAAUUUUUACUUAAAAAAUAGGUUUUUAUGCCAUUUUCAAGCGAUUUUUCCUGAAUUUUUGCGGAAAAAUUGAUUUUUUGCAGCGUAAAAACAAGAAAAUUUGCCUAAUUUUGACCUAGAACCUUUUUUUACUAAAAAAUUUGAAUUUUUCACACCGACCGUAGAAAAUUUGAAUUUUUGCUUCGAAAAUUGGUUAUUGUACGAUUUUCAAGCGAGAAAUAUGGAAUUUCAGCCUUUUUUCUGAAUUUUUUGCGGAAAAUUUGACUUUAAAACCGUGAAAAAUUCUGAAAAAUCGAGAAAACCGGAAAAAUCCAUGAAAAACUUGCAAAUUUUGCAAAUUUUUUAAAAUUUCAAUUUUUCACCGACCGUUCGCUAGUGCGCUCUAAUGAGAAACAGCGAAUUUUAGGCGAAAAUUUGAAUUUUUAUUUAAAAAUUUGGUUUUUAUACGAUUUUCAAGCCAGAAAUCUGGAAUUUAGUCGAUUUUUCUGAAUUUUUACUCAAAAAUGUGAAUUUUUACUCAAAAAUUUGAAUUUUUCACAGCGACCGUAGGCUUCAAGUGCGCUCCAAUGAGAAAAUAACAAAUUUUAGGCGGAAAUUUGAAUUUUUGCGGAAAAAUUCGAUUUUUCCGUCUUAAAAUUGCUUUUUUUUUCAGGAAUGGGAAUCAACCAGGCCCAUCCGAUUCUGAUGGCAAUUGUCGACGAGCAAGUAGUCCUGUAUGAGAUGUUCUCGAGCUCAAAUCCGAUUCCUGGACACCUUGGAAUUUCUUUCCGAAAGCUUCCACACUUUAUUUGCCUCCGAACAUCGUCUCAUUUGAAUUCCGACGGAAAACGGGCUCCGG